Molecule: long non-coding RNA, 1120 nt
Filed under: Equus asinus (donkey)
Lineage: Eukaryota; Metazoa; Chordata; Mammalia; Perissodactyla; Equidae
Description: lncRNA (ENSEASG00005024181.1)
Source: RNAcentral
CAGGCAUCAAUUUUCAAUUUGACAUUAACUACGAAAGGAAAUGAUGAAGUAAAAUUCCUAAGUAUUGAGCUGUCACUGGAGAAAAGAUUUAUGUUAGUCUCUGGCAUCAAAUCAUGACUCAGAUCGUCACUAGUAGGCACACCAUUUCUUUUCUUUGACACUUUUAGGAGCCUGAUAGGAGAGGAUUCUGGAUUUGUCGAAGUGUACACUUCCUUCUGUGCACUUAUCUGAACGGUUCGUGAAGAGCAUCCUUUCAAUCUAAGUAUGUAUCUCAAGGAGACUCACUCACCAAUGCCAGCACUUCAGCACACCCGCAGAAGGAGUGCAUGGACUCCAUGACCACAUUGCAAAGACUGACUUCUGUCUGCACAAGAAAUUCAGAGACCAGUAGUUCCCUCCCGGCAUGGACAGAAAAACUUCCCUGCAGCCUCUUUCCAUUUAGUCUGGUGAAAUUGAACGUAAACUGCCCUGAGGGCAAGCUGGAUCCCAGCUGGAAUCUCACCCUGUUGCUAGGCUUCGCCCAACAGCCCACUACUUUGUCUUCACAUCCAUACAAGGACUGUGUAAGGAAAAGAGCAGUUAUGGAACCAUGGGAGUUCAGAGAAGAGGAAACUGCUCCCAUCCAGGGGGAGAGAAGACAGAAGGCUUCGUGGAGCUUUGACUAUGCCAAAGUGUUGGGAAGGAAAUUCUCUGUGACUGGAACAGGAUGGACAGAGAUACAGAGGCAAGAGAUCAAAGAAUAGAAAUGUAAACACAGAGGGUAAGAGUAGAAAUCGUGAGUUUCACUGACACCUCUGAUUCCAGACCCAUCUCACAGGGCGCUUCCUUGCUUUCCCCCAUUCUAUCUUUGCACAUCUCUUCCUCACAGUGAGGACUUUGGCUCCCAAAAUAUUGACACAUUUACUCAUAUGCUCAUUUCUACAACAUUCAUCGCCACACCUAUGUCACUACAAAAAACAAAUCUACCAAAAAGAAUUCAAGAUUUGUUGACAGUUCUUUUUUUUUCCCCCUAGACUGAGGGUACAUGGUCAAAGAACUAUAUUCAAAAAUUGCCCUGAUAAUUCUCGCCCUCCCCCACCUCUAUUCAGCAUGGCUGUGCUAGUCCUUUGAAAUACAGAUG